Molecule: unclassified non-coding RNA, 148 nt
Organism: Macaca fascicularis (crab-eating macaque)
Lineage: Eukaryota; Metazoa; Chordata; Mammalia; Primates; Cercopithecidae
Rfam family: Metazoan signal recognition particle RNA
About the family: The signal recognition particle (SRP) is a universally conserved ribonucleoprotein. It is involved in the co-translational targeting of proteins to membranes.
Source: Ensembl
GCUGGGCAUGGUGGUGCGUGCCUGUAAUCCCAGCUACUCAGGAGGCUGAGGCAGGAGAACCACUUGAACUCAGGAGGUGGAGGUUGCAGUGAGCUGAGAUCGUGCCAUUGCCCUCCAACCUGGGUGACAGAGUGAGACUCUGUCUCAA